UAAUCUAGGAUGACAAGAUGACUUCAAAGU
Molecule: non-coding RNA, 30 nt
Filed under: Rattus norvegicus (Norway rat)
Lineage: Eukaryota; Metazoa; Chordata; Mammalia; Rodentia; Muridae
Source: RNAcentral